Molecule: ribosomal RNA, 467 nt
Filed under: uncultured bacterium
Lineage: Bacteria
Description: partial 16S ribosomal RNA
Rfam family: Bacterial small subunit ribosomal RNA
Source: RNAcentral
GAUGAACGCUGGCGGCGUGCUUAACACAUGCAAGUCGAACGGAAAGGCCCAAGCUUGCUUGGGUACUCGAGUGGCGAACGGGUGAGUAACACGUGGGUGAUCUGCCCUGCACUUCGGGAUAAGCCUGGGAAACUGGGUCUAAUACCGGAUAGGACCACUUCUUGGAUGUUGUGGUGGAAAGUUUUUUCGGUGUGGGAUGAGCUCGCGGCCUAUCAGCUUGUUGGUGGGGUAAUGGCCUACCAAGGCGUCGACGGGUAGCCGGCCUGAGAGGGUGUACGGCCACAUUGGGACUGAGAUACGGCCCAGACUCCUACGGGAGGCAGCAGUGGGGAAUAUAGCACAAUGGGCGCAAGCCUGAUGCAGCGACGCCGCGUGGGGGAUGACGGCCUUCGGGUUGUAAACUCCUUUCGCUAGGGACGAAGCGUUUUGUGACGGUACCUGGAGAAGAAGCACCGGCUAACUACGUG